AGUCUAUACAUAGUGGCUGUGAGUCGGUGUGGCUAAUUGUCUAUACAUAGUGGCUGUGAGUGUGUGAGAGAUAAGAACACAAUGAUUAGUCCUAAAUGUCCUGAGACAUCACACUGAGACAACAGAACAGAGAAGGUCAGAACAGUACAGAACAGAGCAGAACAGAACAGAACAGAGCAGAGCAGGUCACAACAGAAAAGAACAGAGCAGGUCACAACAGAAAAGAACAGAGCAGAGCAGAACAGAGCAGAACAGAACAGAGCAGAGCAGGUCACAACAGAAAAGAACAGAGCAGAUCAGAACAGGUCAGAACAGAACAGGUCAGAACAGAACAGAAAAGAACAGAGCAGGUCAGAACAGAAAAGAACAGAGCAGAACAGAACAGAGCAGAUCAGAACAGAGCAGGUCACAACAGAAAAGAACAGAGCAGAGCAGAACAGAGCAGAUCAGAACAGAGCAGUGCAGAACAGGUCAGAACAGAACAGAAAAGAACAGAGCAGGUCAGAACAGAAAGGAACAGAGCAGGUCAGAACAGAACAGAACAGGUCAGAACAGAACAGAACAGAGCAGGUCAGAACAGAAAAGAACAGAGCAGAUCAGAAUCAGAACAGAACAGGUCAGAACAGAGCAGAGCAGAAAAGGUCAGAACAGAACAGAAAAGAACAGAAAGGAACAGAGCAGGUCAGAACAGAACAGGGCAGAACAGAGCAGAGCAGAACAGAACAGGUCAGAACAGAGCAGAACAGAGCAGAGCAGAAAAGGUCAGAACAGGUCAGAACAGAGCAGAGCAGAAAAGGUCAGAACAGGUCAGAACAGAGCAGAGCAGAACAGGUCAGAACAGAACAGAGCAGAACAGAACAGAGCAGAGCAGGUCAGAACAGACCAGAGCAGGUCAGAACAGUGCAGAGCAGUGCAGAGCACAACAGAGCACAACAGAGCAGGUCAGAACAGUGCAGAGCAGAACAGAGCAGAACAGAGCAGAACAGAGCAGGUCAGAACAGUGCAGAGCAGAACAGAGCAGAACAGGUCAGAACAGAGCACAACAGAACAGAGCACAACAGUGCAGAACAGAGACCUUAAUAACUACAGGCUUAUCUCUGACACACAACACCUAAGCUACACUCAUACACAGUCUGACUGUGACACAGGAUUUUAUCAGCGAAACUAAUUCAAAUAUGUCAAUCUCUUACAGAUCCUAAAGUAAACACAGGUAACCUCCAUUUGCACUGUGGUUUCCUUGUUCAUAUGUCUAAGUUCAUGUCAACAUCUCUCAACGUCUAGAUUCCAAACGGUGCCAGUCGGCCCUGAGUGUCAAACAGACCAGGGGACGAGGCCCCGCCGGCUGUCUGAGGAACGGACCAGGGGACGAGGCCCCGCCGGCUGUCUGAGGAACGGACCAGGGGACGAGGCCCCGCCGGCUGUCUGAGGAACGGACCAGGGGACGAGGCCCCGCCGGCUGUCUGAG
Molecule: long non-coding RNA, 1465 nt
Filed under: Salmo salar (Atlantic salmon)
Lineage: Eukaryota; Metazoa; Chordata; Actinopteri; Salmoniformes; Salmonidae
Description: lncRNA (ENSSSAG00000104903.1)
Source: RNAcentral